GAUGAACGCUGACAGAAUGCUUAACACAUGCAAGUCCACUUGAAUUUGGGUUUUUUAACUUAGAUUUGGGUGGCGGACGGGUGAGUAACGCGUAAAGAACUUGCCUCACAGCUAGGGACAACAUUUGGAAACGAAUGCUAAUACCUGAUAUUAUGAUUAUAAGGCAUCUUAGAAUUAUGAAAGCUAUAUGCGCUGUGAGAGAGCUUUGCGUCCCAUUAGCUAGUUGGAGAGGUAACGGCUCACCAAGGCGAUGAUGGGUAGCCGGCCUGAGAGGGUGAACGGCCACAAGGGGACUGAGACACGGCCCUUACUCCUACGGGAGGCAGCAGUGGGGAAUAUUGGACAAUGGACCAAGAGUCUGAUCCAGCAAUUCUGUGUGCACGAUGACGUUUUUCGGAAUGUAAAGUGCUUUCAGUUGGGAAGAAAAAAAUGACGGUACCAACAGAAGAAGAGACGGCUAAAUACGUG
This 468-nucleotide ribosomal RNA is filed under the name uncultured bacterium. Its description in RNAcentral is "partial 16S ribosomal RNA". It matches the Rfam family "Bacterial small subunit ribosomal RNA", at positions 28 to 507 of the family's 1533-position model. The record is from RNAcentral.